This 242-nucleotide long non-coding RNA is filed under the name Capsella rubella. RNAcentral describes it as "long non-coding RNA (CRUB_LNC002529)". The record is from RNAcentral. Lineage: Eukaryota; Viridiplantae; Streptophyta; Magnoliopsida; Brassicales; Brassicaceae.
AAAUUAUAUUUUUGUUUGGGUUGAUAAAAUAGUGACUAGGAUUUAGAUUCUGUAAAUAAACGAAAUUAUAUUUCGGUUUGGAUUUAUAAAAGAGUGGUUAAAGUUGAUUUUAUUUUUUAUUUAUUUUUUAGUUAUAAUAUGAUGUGAUAUAUUGUUUUAUUUUGAUUGGUUAAUCAAUAAUGGGUGAGUAAGAGUAGUUUACCUCUGGACAAGUAUUGCUCAUUAAUGUUUUUUAAAAAAUU